GCUGAGGCGCUUGCACCGUACGGGGUCUGGAGGCUGCAGAGGGUUGCGGCGCAAACGAGGGAGGGAUGACCUAGGGUUGCUGAAACCUUUUGGGCCAUUUGGGCUCAUUUUCAGUAUUGGGCCAUCAGAUUUGGGCUAGAGGGACUAUUUUGGGUAUUUGGGUUUGUAAUAAGACAUUAUUGGCCAUGUAAUAUUUGUUGGGUUUUUAAUU
RNAcentral lists this long non-coding RNA (211 nucleotides) under Gossypium barbadense (sea-island cotton). RNAcentral's name for it is "long non-coding RNA (GBAR_LNC003363)". The record is from RNAcentral. Lineage: Eukaryota; Viridiplantae; Streptophyta; Magnoliopsida; Malvales; Malvaceae.